This 460-nucleotide ribosomal RNA is filed under the name uncultured bacterium. Its description in RNAcentral is "partial 16S ribosomal RNA". It matches the Rfam family "Bacterial small subunit ribosomal RNA", at positions 338 to 795 of the family's 1533-position model. The record is from RNAcentral.
CCUACGGGUGGCAGCAGUGAGGAAUAUUGGUCAAUGGACGAGCGUCUGAACCAGCCAAGUAGCGUGAAGGAUGACUGCCCUAUGGGUUGUAAACUUCUUUUAUAUGGGAAUAAAAUGAUCCACGUGUGGGAUUUUUUAUGUACCAUAUGAAUAAGGAUCGGCUAACUCCGUGCCCGCAGCCGCGGUAAUAAGGAGGAUCCGAGCGUUAUCCGGAUUUAUUGGGUUUAAAGGGAGCGUAGGGGGAUUGUUAAGUCAGUUGUGAAAGUUUGCGGUUCAACCGUAAAAUUGCAGUUGAAACUGGCAGUCUUGAGUACAGUAGAGGUGGGCGGAAUUCGUGGUGUAGCGGUGAAAUGCUUAGAUAUCACGAAGAACUCCGAUUGCGAAGGCAGAUCACUGGACUGCAACUGACACUGAGGCCCGAAAGUGUGGGUAUCAAACAGGAUUAGAGACCCCGGUAGUC